UGCAGCAGGCGCGAAACCUCCGCAAUGCGGGAAACCGCGACGGGGGGACCCCGAGUGCCGUGGCAACGCCACGGCUUUUCCGGAGUGUAAAAAGCUCCGGGAAUAAGGGCCGGGCAAGGCCGGUGGCAGCCGCCGCGGUAAUAC
This 144-nucleotide ribosomal RNA is filed under the name uncultured archaeon. RNAcentral describes it as "partial 16S ribosomal RNA". It matches the Rfam family "Archaeal small subunit ribosomal RNA", at positions 331 to 476 of the family's 1478-position model. The record is from RNAcentral.